This 480-nucleotide ribosomal RNA is filed under the name uncultured beta proteobacterium. RNAcentral describes it as "bacterial SSU rRNA". It matches the Rfam family "Bacterial small subunit ribosomal RNA", at positions 97 to 573 of the family's 1533-position model. Lineage: Bacteria; Pseudomonadati; Pseudomonadota; Betaproteobacteria. The record is from RNAcentral.
GGCGAACGGGUGCGUAAUGCAUGGGAAUCUGCCUAGUAGUGGGGAAUAACCCGGCGAAAGCCGGGCUAAUGCCGCAUACGACCUGCGGGUGAAAGCGGGGGAUCGCAAGACCUCGCGCUAUUAGAUGAGCCCAUGUCGGAUUAGCUAGUUGGUAGGGUAACGGCCUACCAAGGCGGCGAUCCGUAGCUGGUCUGAGAGGACGGCCAGCCACACUGGGACUGAGACACGGCCCAGACUCCUACGGGAGGCAGCAGUGGGGAAUUUUGGACAAUGGGGGCAACCCUGAUCCAGCGACGCCGCGUGUGUGAAGAAGGCCUGCGGGUUGUAAAGCACUUUCGUUGGGAACGAAAUAUGCCGACCUAAUACGUCGGUAGGCUGACGUUACCCAAAUAAGAAGCACCGGCUAACUCUGUGCCAGCAGCCGCGGUAAUACAGAGGGUGCGAGCGUUAAUCGGAAUUACUGGGCGUAAAGCGCACGUA